This 451-nucleotide ribosomal RNA is filed under the name uncultured bacterium. RNAcentral describes it as "bacterial SSU rRNA". It matches the Rfam family "Bacterial small subunit ribosomal RNA", at positions 74 to 518 of the family's 1533-position model. The record is from RNAcentral.
UCCAGCUUGCUGGACGGAACGAGUGGCGAACGGGUGAGUAAUACGUAAGCAACCUGCCUGCAAGGACUGGGAUAACACCUGGAAACGGGCGCUAAUACCGGAUAGGUAACAAAGGGGCAUCCCUUAUGUUAUUAAAGGUUAGAAACACAAGCAGAUGGGCUUACGGUGCAUUAGCUAGUUGGUGAGGUAACGGCCCACCAAGGCGAUGAUGCAUAGCCGGCCUGAGAGGGUGAACGGCCACAUUGGGACUGAGACACGGCCAGACUCCUACGGGAGGCAGCAGUAGGGAAUUUUCGGCAAUGGACGAAAGUCUGACCGAGCAACGCCGCCGUGAGUGAAGAAGGUUUUCGGAUUGUAAAGCUCUGUUUGUAAGGGAAGAACAGCACGGAAAGAAUCCGUGAAUGACGGUACCUUACCAGAAAGCCACGGCUAACUACGUGCCAGCAGCGGC